This 398-nucleotide ribosomal RNA is filed under the name uncultured bacterium. Its description in RNAcentral is "partial 16S ribosomal RNA". It matches the Rfam family "Bacterial small subunit ribosomal RNA", at positions 360 to 776 of the family's 1533-position model. The record is from RNAcentral.
AAUAUUGCACAAUGGAGGAAACUCUGAUGCAGCGACGCCGCGUGAACGAUGAAGGCCUUCGGGUCGUAAAGUUCUGUCCUUGGGGACGAUAAUGACGGUACCCAAGGAGGAAGCCCCGGCUAACUACGUGCCAGCAGCCGCGGUAAUACGUAGGGGGCGAGCGUUGUCCGGAAUUAUUGGGCGUAAAGGGUUCGUAGGCGGUCUUUUAAGUCAGAUGUGAAAGGUCACGGCUCAACCGUGGUAAGCAUUUGAAACUGAAAGACUUGAGUUAAGGAGAGGAAAGUGGAAUUCCUAGUGUAGCGGUGAAAUGCGUAGAUAUUAGGAGGAAUACCAGUGGCGAAGGCGACACGCUGGGCCUGGCCUGACGCUGAGAGGCGAAAGCAUGGGGAGCGAACGGG